ACUGGAGGAAAUCACAACCUCCCUUUUAGUAUUUUAAAUAUUAAUUUUAAUAAAAAGUUCUGACUUAACUCAGUAUGAGAGUCUCUAAUUCCAUCCAUGUUGCUGCAAAUGGCAUUAUUUUGUUCUUUUUUAUGGCUGAGUAGAAGAUUGAUAGAACACUGUAAACCAGCUCUAAUGGAAAAAAUAAAAAUCAUUACAUAAAAUAAAAUAAAAUAAAAAGUCCUAGGAAGCUUGAAAUGUCUGAAGUAGGCAACUACUUGCUACUUGCUGCAGUUAGUAUUCCUGAUGCUAAUUUUGCUUUCUUGAAAGGUGCGAAACCUUUAGAAGUACCAGUAGUUGUUCAGUUCACAGAUACCAUAAAUCUCUCUUGCAGUGUGACUUAGUACUCUGGAAAGAAAGCAUAUAUUCUCCAAGUCCAUACUCUCCUGAUGAAAUUUAUAUCUGGGUGAGAACACAGAUAGCAAGCUUCUCGAUUUCUCUUUUACUGUGAUAAAAGCAGAGAAAAUGUUAACAAGCAAAGCAUGAGCCAGACUGCCUAAUGUUAAAGGUACAGAUCCGUGUGGGAGGGAUGAGCCCUGUUGCAUCAACGUCCCAGCUUCCUGCUCGGACGGUGCUUCAGGCUGCAAACGCACACAUGCUUAUAAAUUCCAUAGUCUGUUUGUGAUAUUGGCGUGUGCUUGAAGGAGUGUGACCUUGGUGGACAUGGCUCACAUUAGCCGAAUUCACAAGAGACUAACCUACUGACCAAAUGACAAAUCAUAAUAUGUAAAGAGAAAUGGAAAAUGACAAAUCACUAACGUAUAAAGAAGAAUGUAACUCUCGAGGCGAGUAUGCAGGUGCAGCCAUUAAAAAAAGAAAGAAAAAAAGUGAUACUAUCAUAUCCUGUACCAUUUUGGAUAAGCUAACAUAUGCUUUCUUAACAACUCUUAAAUCUCAGUGGCACAUCAAAGAAGCUUGUUCUUCACUCAUGUUCAGGUUCUUCACAAUUCCCCUGUGUUAUUUUGUGUUGUUAUUGUUGUUUUGUUUGUUUUCUUAUUUAGGACUCACCUGCUCUCUGAAUCUUGCUGGGAACUUCGAAGAGGAAAAGGAGAGGAUGCAUGUGCAGGCUUUAGAAACUUCCACCCAGAAGGAACAGGUUAAUUCUGCUCACAUAGCAUCAGGCAAAGACAGGAGGUCAAGGCCAGUCUUAAGGGUACAGGGCAGGGUGUUGCUGCUAUGAGGAAACUCAUCACUGCAACUCACAACCUAAUACUAACCCUUACUCUAAACUUAAGAGCUAGUCAAGAGAACCACACUGACUACCACUUGCCAGUGUAACUUAGGUAAGAUGUUACCGUGAUUAUUGCAUUUAUUUUGAGUUCUGUGUUGGAGUAAAAGGCAGCUUUGUGGUCACUUUGGAACACUUCCCAUAAGUAAAGUUUUAUUUGUCUUUUAGGGUUGUUCCCUCAAGAGGAAAGUGGAAUGGACACGAGUCCAGCCUUGUUAGAAAGAGGACAUGGCUUCUGGGAGACUUUAUUGUUUUAUUGAGUUAUAUCUAGUUUUCUCGUUCUCCUUAAAUAUUAAGUAUAUUUAUACUCUCACGGGCCCUGAGAAAUAAGGUGGGUGAUUUAACCAGAGAAAUGUCUUUGAAAUGACUGAACACCUGCGCUCCACAGAAAUCUGGGCAAGUCAGCAAAUGUGGGGUCCAAAUGUCUGAUGUUGGAAACGGCAUACUUUGCUCUUUGGUAAUUCGUCACCAAUACCACUGAGAACUGACUGCUGGAAAGAGAGAGCUUUUGGUGGACUUGUCCACGUCCAUCCUUUCCUUAGGCCUAAACACACAUUUGGGUGAAAAAACACUGAAUCACACAUUUUGAUAUAUACCAUAAUUAUAUAAUACACAAAGAUACUCUUUUGCAGGAAGCCAAGGAGAUGCAGGGACUCAAAAAAGGACCUUGCCUGAUGGCAGAAAAACCUGAAGGCAGGUUCCUAACCAAGGAAGGGAGCUCACCUGAACGGUCCAAGCCGAAGGUGGGCCUCUGGACAGGAUAAAAGCCUGCCUGCACGGUACCAGCCGAGAGCAGGCCUCAGGUUACAAGGCUCUCACUUUGAUGUUAAUGGGGAAGAAUUGGGGCUUUCCUGGGAAAGCAAUUUCCAUGUUUGUGCCAGAGAACAUGGAUUGUUUCUUGGAUGACCUAGUCUUCCCUGUUGUUUUAUUUAUUAUUCAGUUUUCCUCAGUCUUUCCUGAUUACUUGCUUAUUAUUCUUAUUUCCCAUUCUUAUUCUCCUGUGGUGAUUUGUGAUUUAACAAAAUUACAGCAAUAAUACAAUAAGAAUUUUAUCCUAAAGGACUUUCCCCUAUUCAAAUCCAACUUAGUUAAAACAUAGUGUUUUUCUACUAACUAGUUAUACAGUAAACUUUAGAGUUAGGAUUUUAAUGAGGUUCAUAGAAGUUAGACAUAUAUUAUUCUUGACCAAAAGACACCUAGCUAUGAGUUAUAGAAGCUUUUAAGUGAUAGCUAGUUAAGUUGGUUUAUAUUUUCUUAUGCUGUCUCCCUGCCAUAACACUUUAAAGAUAAGCACCAGUCUAAAAACAAGAUUUGUAAAUACAAAAUUCUAGUGUCUGUGACCUCUUCAAAUUGCAAAGACUGGAUGGCCAUGGGAUGAUUUGUACUGAGUCUCCUCCUUUCCAUGAUGUAUUGUACCUAAUUGCCCUUAAAUUGUACUCACUAAGUUUAGUUAAGACAAAGAUGUUAGAACGUGACGUAUAGCUGCCGUACCAUGUAAAAGUCAACCAAUGUACUUUUAACACUGUGAUGUAAUCUGUAGUGAAAAACUGUCUAUAUAACCUACCACUUAUGCCAAUAAAAUCUGAGCAGUCCAGAGCCCUGAAAGAAGGGACAAAGAGGCUGUCUCCAUAUUUACAUUUUGCCGACGCUGUCCAUCUCUUAUCAGGAAAGUGUACACUCCCUGGCCACCAGAGCUGGCCUCCGGCACUCUUUCAAGUUUUAAAAAAAAUAAUUUUCCCCUGGAUUAAUAUUGUCAGAUUGUGACCCAAAGUGGCAUUUCACACAUCCCCUCUUUGGAAGGAUAGAAGCGAGAGAAAUCCAUGCCCUUGGGCACUGGGGUCUCUCCUCUGCUUCAGGUACAGGAGUGACCCUUGUUUUCACCUCCAUGUUUUUAUUUGUGUUUUUCUAGGUUUCUAUUUGAAGAAAGUCACCAAGGCCAAAACACAACAAUAAAUCGAAACAAAAAUAAAUACAAAAAAAUAAGUGAAUUCCGUUUACGUACAUGAUGAGAAGGAACUCAAAGAUUCUGAUGGUGUGUAGCCUCUGACAGUAAACUACUAGAGUUUAUAAAAACAGGUCUGGCGUAAAGUGGGUUCAAACCUUUUACUCAGCCAUGGAUUUAUUCAGAGAAAUUGUAAAUGCAGCCCUUUUCCAAGUCCCUAUUUACAAAACUAAAAACAAUUUACUACAGUGUUCAUUAACUCUUAGGGAAAAUAUUGAAAACAAAGUGAGUUUCUGAAUUAGAAAAUAACUUCAAACUUAAACCCAAAAAAAACAGAAUACCCAGAAGGUUAGCAUAAAGUGUUAACUGACAUUACCAAAUACAAGAAAUUUUUAUGUAACAAAGAAGGAGGUGUAACAAUUAAAAAAAAAAAAAAACUUUUAAUGUUUCAGCUGCUUUUGAUUCAGGACUCCAAAGAUUUUGUUUUGGGCAUUUCUAUAUAUUUAGUGUCAUAUUACACUAUCAAAAAUUUGUUUUUUUACCUCCAGUUACAUUACUGGAGGUAAAUUCUUUUCUUAAAUUCUUGUUUUAUAUAGUGUGACCAAUGGAAAGAUUCCUAUGAAAGAAAAAUAGUUUGGAAUUGAUUCUAUUUCUUCAGAAAUAGAACCACUAAAAUUUAUAUUUGCCCCCUAAAUUAAAGAUUAGUUCUAGUUCAAAGUCUCAAGAAGAGAAAGACUUCACAAUAACUUCUUUCACUUCAGCUAAAAGAAAAAAAAAAUAUGAAAUAUGUUUUAAAGGUAAAUUCCAGGAUAAUCUGUAAAUAUUCAAUACAUCUGAGAAGAAUGGCAAACACAGGAGAGGAGCAGACAGCUCUAUGGUGACUGUAUAAUCUUUGCCUCCUGGCAAACUGAAUCCAAGAGAAAACAAGAGUAAUCUGUCAUGACGACACGAAGUUUAGGACGGAAACGCAAGUCAGUCAGCCAUCAGAUAACACAUAAAUAAAAGACACCUGUUAUAGUUGAUCCGCUCGCUAUACAAUACAAAAGCAAUGAUAUAAUUUACCUAGGAAUGAAUGCAACAAUAGGUAUGUAAGAUUUUUAUGGAGAAAACUGUACAACGUCUCUUGCAGCAUUAAGGAAACAUAAAUCAAAUGAUGUUCAAAGCAACACUCAGUAUAAGGAAAGUGUUAGUCCCCCCCAAAUUGACCUAAAGGUUCAGAUCUUACUUUUCUUAUAUCGGGAAACACUCGCUCUCUCCUCCACCGAAGAAUGAUUUCACUGCUCAUCAUUAUUCCCAGUUUACAUACCUAUUGCUACAUUCAUCCCUAGGUAAGUUACAUUAUGGAUUUUGUAUCAUAUGGUAAGUGUACUUGGGUGUCUUUUAAAAAACUCAUGUCUUGAAAUAUUUGUGGUCAGUGUAUAGAUAAGGAAUUACUUUUAUAUGUUGCUCUGAAUAUAAAUCCUUUUACUUUUCUUUUUUUUUUUUUUUUUUUUUUUUUUNNNNNNNNNNNNNNNNNNNNNNNNNNNNNNNNNNNNNNNNNNNNNNNNNNNNNNNNNNNNNNNNNNNNNNNNNNNNNNNNNNNNNNNNNNNNNNNNNNNNNNNNNNNNNNNNNNNNNNNNNNNNNNNNNNNNNNNNNNNNNNNNNNNNNNNNNNNNNNNNNNNNNNNNNNNNNNNNNNNNNGGAUUCGUUAACCACUGUGCCACGACGGGAACUCCCCCUUUUACUUUUCUAAACAUCUUUGUGUAUUCAAUUCACUUUUAUACUAUGUAUCCUACACAUAUGUUUUUUUAAUAUACUUUCAAUUCUUGUAUCUCCAAUCCAAUAUUAUAUAGUGACUGUAGGCAACUUUGUUUUAUCAUUGAUAUUAAAGGAAAGUUAUUAGUGAUCUAACAUUAAAAGUAAAAUGUUCCCUGGAAAUUUACAGUAGGAAAUUCCCUACUGUCUCUGGUUGUUGAAUAGCUUAUAUUGUUUAUGAGGGAUUUUGUUUCAAUAACUCUUUCUACAGUCACCUGAGUUAUAUUGUUUUAACAUCUGGUUUUUAUUUACAUAUUAUCUGAGUAUUAACUGACUUGCACUUCUGUCAUAAACUUCAUGUCAUUAUGACAAAUUACUCUUGUUUUCUCUUGGAUUUCGUUUGCCAGUAGGCAAAGAUUUUAGAGUCACCAUAAAGCUGUCUGCUCCUCUCCUGUGUUUGGGUCUCUGCCAAAAUGUGGGUGACAGCAGCUGACUUCAUUUCUACAACAAACUCUGAAUAAACAAUCUGUGCUUUUUGUCAGGUCCUUUACUUCAUUUACUCCCACAAACUAUACAUUGUCCUUUAAAAAUAACUUUCUUUGAAACUCGCACUUUGCUACACAAUGUUUUAAUUAAAAUUCAGCUCUGUGCUUUUUGUUGUAAUUUCUUCUUUCACAUGGUAUGUAUAGUGUGUAUCAUAAAAUCAAAAUUUGUAGGCCUUUUAAUCCAGUUACUUUUUAGUAUUCAUCUCUUAGUUCAUUCCGUGUAACCAGGGAACUUAAUUUGCAUGGUAGUUGAUUCUUUUUAUUUCUGAAGGUAUUUUGUGAGCAAUAAUUGGUUUGUUUAGAGGAAAAUGUGCCUUCUCUGACACUGAGUGCAUUUAUUUAUGUGUAUCCAUCAAAUUAAAAUUUUUUUUGUCUUUUUGUCUAUUCUAGGGUCGCACCCAUGGCACAUGGAGGUUCCCAGGCUAGGGGUCUAGUGGGAGCUGUAGCUGCCGGCCUCCGCCACGGCCACAGCGACGCCGGAUCCGAGCUGGGUGUGCGACCUACACCACAGCUCAGGCAACGCUGGAUCCUUACCCCACUGAGGGAGGCCAGGGAAGCUCAUGGUUCCCGGUCAGAUUCGUUAACCACUCAGCCAUGACUGGAACGCCAUCAAAUUAAAUGUAUUACUUACCUUGUUCAAGUUUUCUCUUCCUUUACUAAUUUUUGGCCUUUUAGAAAUAAUUCGGAAAAUAUAAUUAAAAUCAAAAUCUCCUUUUCACUCGGAAAAACCCUCCAAGAAGUCCGAAGAGAAAGAAGACAGUUUUCAUUAUUGAAUAUUAUGUAUUAAAGUAAAUGUAAUAUGCAUCACCAGAA
This 6301-nucleotide long non-coding RNA is filed under the name Sus scrofa (pig). RNAcentral's name for it is "lncRNA (ENSSSCG00060021531.1)". The record is from RNAcentral. Lineage: Eukaryota; Metazoa; Chordata; Mammalia; Artiodactyla; Suidae.